GUUAAUUUCCUGGAGCUCCUGGUUGGUUCUUGAGCAGAUGAUCUCGAUGAGAGAGUCCUCGUCAGUUCCCAGCCCCUGUGAACCAAGAAGCACAGUCAUCAGCCAUCUUCCUCAUCAAUGGCCUCCUUCGCUCAUCUCUAUCAGAAUGAGAGGAAUGUGUUACCAUCAGUACUCAGUGGAGGCAACAGUCCUGAAAUUAAAUUAGAAACACCAUAUCAAGAAGCCAUCAGAAGUCAUAAAGAUGAAACAAGAGAACUGAACACAGUGCCUGGCACCUGGUAAGAAAAAACACCGAAGAAGAGUUCAGUUCACAGACUGCUGUAUAGUUCUCUGCUCUCAGUGAAACAGUUCUUUGCCUUUGUAUAACAGUUAAGUGACCAGCCAGCAGAGUUGGAAUUCAAUCCAAUUAUUGGAAAUCCCCAUAAAAGCCCUGAUGAUUAACCUGAAUUUCACCUAAGAGGCAGCACCAACUGUAGUCUGAAGGCAUCCCAAUGCAUUCACCUGAAUUAUUUACCAAGCAAACAGCCACUGAGAUGGGAUCACGGAUGCACUACACACAUGCUAAUUAAUGCCAGCAACCAUAAAGAAACUAAAUGGAGUUUCAGCAAGUGGAAGACUCCUUCCCAAAACUCCACCCACAUCAGCUAUUUCUCCCAUACCAUUGCAUGCAUGUUUCCAAUUGAACUGGAAAGAGGAAAAAUUCAUGGAGCCCAGGAUCAUCUGCCUGGUCAAUGCUGCUAAAGGCAGGACCUACACUGGAACACCAGAACAGUGUAUCUGCCAGUGAGACUGAACCAUCUUAUCUUUAGGACACCGCCGCUUCCCCUCGACCUGCUAUCCUAAUGGAUGAAGCAGUUUACUCUUGUGGAAAAUACAUGGUACAGGUUAAAGCUCCAAGGGUCAAAUGGUUCCUCUCCACUGCUGCCCAAGAUGCAGGAAGGAGGCAGCUGAACGCCGAGCUACCUCAGCACAACCACCAACAGCACAUGGCCAGUGCCUGGAGCCGGGAAAGCUCUACAGUGAACACAGCUGCAGAUACCUGUGAGAAGAGGCUCUGCCUCUGAAUCUGUACCUUCUGACUUCUCAUUUUCCAGUGCUUAGGAAAGGGUUUGCUGGACAGAAGGAUUUAGGGACUAACAGAAACUGGGCGGGUGGGGCAAAACUUGAAGAAGAAACAAACCUGAACAAGGCUUUCUUUUCCAUCCCAUCCCCCUGUGUUUGAUACAGGUGGUCACGAAGUCCUCUAAGCAAAGACUCACACUGGGGAACAGUGAUGUGGGGGAGAAUUCCACAAAGGGUAGAGGAUGACAUGCUCAAUGCUGGGAUCCAGGCAGACUUUUUAAAAUGUAUUUUUCAAAAACUAAUAAAAAUGAAGGAGGGAAGAAUAGAAGUUCACUGGAUUAGACAAAGGGGAAUGAAAGGAAGGGGGGAUGGGAACAAAAGACAGUAGAAUGAAUUGGACGUAACUUUCCUUGUUCAUAUAUGAACACACGACCAGUGUAGCUCCACAUCAUGUACGACCUCAAGAACGGGAAGUUAUCCUCCACGUAUGUAUGAUAUGUCAAAAUACACUCUACUGUCAUGUAAAUGAAUAAAUUUAUGUCAUGUCAUUUAAAAAGAAUAAAUUUUAAAAAGAACUAAACAAAUAGAAGUUAAGCUUUUGCAACACUGGUGAGGAAACAAAACACAAAUGUACUCAUUUGGCUCCUGAUGGGAAAUAGAACAAGGAGGUUUUUAAAAAGCAUCUACUCCUUGAAAGAAAAUAGUCAGAUAAUCUAGUCAGUUAACUACAGCGUUUUCAACACUCCAGUUGGGGGAAUCCAAAGGUCAGUCACUGUUCUAAAUGCCAGUAGACCUGAAGUAAUCAUUCUGCAUUGAAGGCUACAGGAAGGCACCGCUGUCAGCGGGCUCAAGCAGCCAACUUUGGGGUCCUGGGUGUCUUCAGUCACCCACCACAUUUUUCAAGACAAAGAAGACUUGCAGUCUAAAAUGAUGGCUGAGUCCAAAAACCACAAAAUCUGCCUCCUGGAGUUUCCUCCUCCUCGCUGUGGGUAGAAACCCCAAGUCAGCUCCAUGGAAAAUGUGUGUCUUUAUUGUUCAUGGCAAUGAACCAACAGCCAUUUGGAACAGGAUGCUGACUCACAGCUGUGGAGACACACUGACUGCACAAAGAAAAUGGAUUUCAUUUGUGUUUGAUGAAAAGCUCAGGAGCCCGUAGGGUGGUGGUGAUGGGUUGAAAAGUAAAGGAAAAUUGCCCAGAUCCUCUCCUUAUCUAGAUCAUGGGAGAAAUCAUGAUUCAGCUCAGAUUUCUAGGCAUAGUGGUAUCAAAUUUUGGAAGAUAUCAUCUUUAUAUUAAGGUCAGAGGCAUGCCACACAAAGAGGGCAGACCACAGAUCCAAGGAUAUAUUCACAUGAACAUGUUUUACUCAUUAGAACAACAACCUUCCCCUGUGCACCUACUGUGUGCCAGGCAUUGUAUUAAGUGCUUUGCAUAUAUCCUGUCAUUUUUCUUACAUCCACAUGAAGUGGAUGUGAUUAUUAUCCCCGUUGCUAAUGCUCAACAUAUGUUUAUCCUAUAUGUAUGAGUCAUGUCUGUACCUUUUUGAAAUUAUACUUAUGAUAUUUCUUCAUAUCACACUCCUCUAUCUAGGUCCUAAGAAAGGACUGGGAAUGGUAAUAUGUCUGUACAUGUAUAGAACUAUUUAGUCAUACAAAUGCACUCACAGUUAGCAACCUGUAGGUGAUAAUUUGACAUGCAGUAACAAUGCGUAGCUACUGAAGAAAUAACCCAAUUGAGUUUUUUUUAACAGAGGGGCUAGAACACUCUCUUCCAGAUAUAGCCAUUAAGAACUUGGUGGAGAGAGGCGAUCUUUUGCACUAAGCUUGUUAUGCUGGCUACUCAUCCAUCUACUGGUGUGGUUUUAGGAUAGAGAAGCCCCUGACCCAAUACACACACAUCAUUGCCCAAAAGAACCUUCCUGCCAUCAGCCCUGGUGCUAGGAAGCCUGGAAUUCCUGCCCUCUCAAUCAUUUGGCAAAAUGGAACUUAGAGAAUCCAACCAGGAGGGGCAACAGAUAAAAGGAGAGAACUCUGAAUAAGCAGCAGUGACAGGAGCGCUCUGGGAAGCACACAGGACAAAGACCGGCAAGAUCCUGGGGCACAGUCUCCCUCCCUAUUCCCAGCAUUCUCACUCUGGGACAGAGACGACAAAAAUACUUAUUUUUCCAGGAUGCAGAAAAGACUAGUUGAGGGCUGGGGUUGUGGCUCAGCAGUAGAGCGCUUGCCUAGCACUUUCGAGGCCCUGGGUUCAAUCCUCAGCACCACAUAAAAAUAAACAAAAUAAAACUAUUGUGUCCGACUGAAAAAUAAAUAUUAAA
Molecule: long non-coding RNA, 3377 nt
Organism: Marmota monax (woodchuck)
Lineage: Eukaryota; Metazoa; Chordata; Mammalia; Rodentia; Sciuridae
Exons: 3
Source: RefSeq, a predicted model, not a curated record